RNAcentral lists this ribosomal RNA (271 nucleotides) under uncultured bacterium. RNAcentral describes it as "partial 16S ribosomal RNA". It matches the Rfam family "Bacterial small subunit ribosomal RNA", at positions 524 to 794 of the family's 1533-position model. The record is from RNAcentral.
UACGUAGGGUCCGAGCGUUGUCCGGAAUUAUUGGGCGUAAAGGGCUCGUAGGCGGUUCGUCGCGUCGGGAGUGAAAACUCGGAGCUUAACUCCGAGCCUGCUUCCGAUACGGGCAGACUAGAGGUAGGCAGGGGAGAGCGGAACUCCUGGUGUAGCGGUGGAAUGCGCAGAUAUCAGGAGGAACACCGGUGGCGAAGGCGGGUCUCUGGGCAGUAACUGACGCUGAGGAGCGAAAGCGUGGGGAGCGAACAGGAUUAGAAACCCGUGUAGU